GUAAGAAUAAAACACUGCUCAAGUCAUACUCUCAAAGUCCUACUCAAAUUCCACUGCUUUCUUUAAAGGAUAUGUUAAAACAAAAGUGAAUAUAUACAACAGAAUACCAAUCUGAUCUCAAACUUUCUCUGAAGAUUUUGAAUGUGCAGUGCUAGGACUCUAUCCUGUGAGUUUUAAAAAGUGUAAAUCUUCAUUUUAAUUUCCUCUCAUUUUGUCUUUGCUAUUCAUUCUUUUACUUUUAUUUGGAAGGAGAAUUACUUGUAGCUUAUAAAUUCCAAAGCUGAGGGGCACCAUUUAUAAAUAAAUUACAGUGGGUUCAAUCUGUUGGGGAAUAAAUAUUUUUUCUUGAUGAAAUAUUCAUUUAGAAAUACAAUGAAUACAGUUCAUACUGUAAUGAAAAAUUAAAGUUAGAGCUAUUAUUAUGAAAAAUUCUUACUUGUAUACAGAUAUCAUUUGGAAUAUAAUUAGACUAAACUCAGCAAUAAGAAAUAGUUUGAAGGCUAAAGAUCAGCCAACAUACACAUAAAUUAUUUAGACAUUUUUCACAGGAGGUAUAAUUCAGUUCCUCAAAGUACCGCCUUUUUUCUUGAACAUAAUAAUUUUCAUUAUGCAAUUGUGUGUUGUUUUUUUUAAGAAUACACGUGUAUGCGCGCACACAGACAAAUACGAUUUCUUGGUUUCUUGUGAAGGAAAAAACAUACCUAGCCAUGGAGCAAACAUUGCAUUUACCCCCAACAGAGGUACAGAGGAUUAUGGAGGGUUAAAAAAUAAAUUCAGGCUCAGUGGUUGUUGAGAUCUGCUAGAGACUGGGAGGCUGGUUGCAGCUCAGUCCGGGGAACAAUAGGUACCUGUAUUCAACAUGGACCACUGAGCAGGGACCAAGCAAUCUGGGGAAAGCUUUGCCUAUGCUGAGGCUUUCUCUCCGGGAGAAUGCAUAAUGAGAGCUCCACUUUCCCGUGGAGCGGAAGCGAGGAAGGCGAGAAGGAAUCCCGGCGCUUGCAUGAGGAGGGGCCGACUGAUCUUUAAUCGUUUCUAGCCAGCCUUGACUUGGCCUGAACGUGAGGUUCUCGGUCUAGAACUCGGCGGGCAGCCUUUCCACUUGGUACUUCAGUCAGACACUAUCGCCGCAGAAGAAGCAGCACAUGCCGCUUCUCGCCUCUUCCAGACAGGCGCGCGCGCGCUCACGCCUCCUCCCCCCCCCCCGCUGGUCUGAGCAGGCAGCUUAAGUGUCACCGCUAUAACCGAGCCCAGUGCAGCACCCGUCGCCAUGGUGUGAAGAGGGGGGCUCGGGAGAUGACAACAACGAAGGAGCUUCGUUCGGCUUUCAAGUUGGGUUCAAAAGAUGUAACAGGACGUCUUCCAACUAAAUGUACAGUAAAAAUAUUAUAUGAAUGAGAACCCUGGACUGAGAUGAGAAUAUAAAGAACAAGAUUGAAUAUUCUGAUCAACUAGAGAAAUUCUUUUGAAAAAAAGGAAGAUCUGGAGGUUUGUCGAUCCAGUACAUGGCAAAUGGCUCUUACUGAUGCCCUCCAUCAGUAGAUACAUUCUCUAAGAAAUUACUCUUGUCCCCACUACCAAGAGGGUUCUUCAUCACUCUGUAGCCUGCCUGUUUUCAAAAGGAAUACGUUUGCUCACUUCACUUGGAACUUGUGACUCUAUAAAAGAGAAGCUUUAGUUGGUUGAGGAGAAAAGUUAGGACAUUCACAGUCAUUCUGCAGUGAUUUCCUAAAGAAGUGGAUGAUUGAUCGUGCCCGCCAGCUGCCUAAUAUCAUAAUUAACAAAGUUGCUACCGUGUCUGAGAAGUUUAAUCGAAAAAAAUUGCCAACAGUGUGAUGCUGUUGUUACCCAUAAAGAUCAGAAGCAGGGCAAAGUCGACUUUUGGACUAAUGGAGCUGCAGAACUAUGUGGGCAGAAUAAGAAGUAGAGCACCUGAAUGGAUAAUGUUACCACUGAACCCAUUGAUCAAGAGAGCUUGAUUCAGAAAAAGAAGUGGUCUUCCCAGGCAUGUGGUUUAAAAUUCUUGCUGCAGGCAUUUUGGACCUCUGAAACCUCUGGGAGAUGAAGUGUAGGAAGAGACACUGAAGGAAGAUGAAAAGUUAAUCCAACUGAAUACAAGAGGCUAAUAAUGGAGUCAGUAAAAGCCAGUGCCAUGAGAGUUAUCUCAUGGCCUCAGAUGCUGGAUAAGUUGAAGAAGGCAGAAAUCACUUCUGGAUGACAUUCAGGUCUGAAUGAUGAUUUGAAGAAGAAAAGACUAUUAUUUCCAAGUUCCAGCAAUAUAUUCCUGAAACAAAAGAUCCACUCCAGACUCUGCCACACCUAAAAGGAACCUUUGAGGAAAUUGCCAGGCUUGAAUACGAUGAGAGAAUUACCCACAAAGCAGAAAAUGAAAAAAGGCACAUAGAUACUUUGGAUAUUUCUGUAAAGUGCCAAAGACCUGGUUCAGAAAUGGUCUCACAAGGUCCACUGACUCUCAACAAAACCUGAGAAGGAAUUGUUCCAGUUAAGUGAACGAGGUAUCAAAUUUCAGAUGAACUGUCUACUUUUGUCAGUAUUAGAGUCACGCUGCACAAUAUUCAAGGACACAUCUUUACUUCACCAUGUUGCCUUUCAUUAUUGAAGUUGUGUAAUUAACCUGAAGAUAAAGAUGCCAUGCAACUUAUACGCCAUCAAAGUUAUUCCUGGAAUGCCUAACAGAAAAUCACUACCACAGAAAUUUUGUGGCCAUCUGCUAAUUUAUUACUUUUUAUAUUUGCAUAGAAUGAUGGGAGGAAUCAGGACAGGCCUUGCAUUAGAUUGAUUGAUCUGAUCAUUAGAUGAUGAUGCGGAAGGACAGGGCAUUGCUCCAAAACCAAGCUCAUUUGUUUACCUGUUUAUCUACCAGCCAGCAGCAGUCUGCCACUCCUUCUGCUAACAGGUUCCUCCCACACUCCCUGCUAAGGUCAGUGUGUUCUAGAAUGACAAACUAGGCAGUGAUAUUCCUUUAAUCCUCUUUCAGCCUAAAAUUCUUUGUUCUGAAUAUUUCUUCUCAAUGAGGCAUUGAGAACCAGGUAUAAAGCAGCACAGAUGACUAGUUUCCACUAUGCCUUGUACUGAAUACUUGGCAAAUGUCUGGUUGACAUUACCCUGUCACAGCUAAGAACGAUAGAUUAUUAUAUAUUAAUAUUAAUAAUAGUAUAUUACUAUUACAUUUUAAUACAGACUCUUCUGAAAUAAGAGUCAUUUUCAUUUCUUCUUUUCCCAUUAUUACAUCUGUGCAUACAGUUUAUCAGUUAAAAUUCCUUCUGUGUGGAAUAGAACAGAAUUUGCAGCUAUGAUAUUUUAUCGGGAGAUACUCUCUUGAUGUGCUCUAAUGAUGUCCAUGCCAUGGAAAGGAAAUCAGUUGAAGAGGCUUACAUUUCAACAUUGCAUCAUGAGUAUAACGUAUCCUGCAUAUUGUUUGUUUAAACUACAUAAGUGUAAGCCAGGAACACCAGUAAGUGAAAUAACAUAGUACACUCAGUUCUGAGAAUAGCAGUGUAAUGAGGAACCGUGCUUUAUAGCACUGUUUACUUGUUAUUUGCUAUCAUAGUGAACUACAAUAAUUUAUGACCCUGGAACUUAGCUGUGCAAUGACCUUGAAGAACUGAGAAAGUGGGGAGAAUGUUCUUUUUGAAGAAAUAAAUACAAAUUCAAAGCAGUCAACCCUAUCUAUAUUCAAGAUAUAAAAGCAUUUAUAAUUUGCCCAAGCUAUUAUGAGAUAAUAUACUUUGAAAAAAGUUGUUUUAAAACUAUGAAGAAUGCCCAAAUAACCACAAUUAUUAUAAGCUGUUAUAAAUAGAUACUAUAGAUAUUAUUUCAAUUAAGAAAACAUAUUUAAUAUGUACUACUUGUGAUUGAAAAAAAUACAUAAUGUUCAAAGCCUAGAUCUCUCUCUCAUGAGCCAGAUUUUAAAACUCAGAUUGCUUUUCAGCUUUCUAAAAUCUCUUCCCUAAAAUACUGUCUGCUCUCUUAUGUAUUUAAUAAAUAUAGCUACUAUUCACUUUUGGAUUGUAAACUAUUUUCUCCCAUUAUCUUUAAAUCUGUAAUAUAACUUUGAAAUAAAUAUAUUUUAUUAAAUCCA
Long non-coding RNA from Crotalus tigris (Tiger rattlesnake), 4099 nucleotides. RefSeq lists it as uncharacterized. The record is from RefSeq and is a predicted model, not a curated record. The transcript has 10 exons. Lineage: Eukaryota; Metazoa; Chordata; Lepidosauria; Squamata; Viperidae.